This 495-nucleotide small RNA is filed under the name Pan troglodytes (chimpanzee). Its description in RNAcentral is "processed transcript". Lineage: Eukaryota; Metazoa; Chordata; Mammalia; Primates; Hominidae. The record is from RNAcentral.
GGCAGGAUCUGGGGCGAAAAGAUCAAGAGAUGGUGAACUGGAGACCAGUCUAAACACCCAAGGUUGUACCACAGAGGGAGACCUGCUGUUUGCCCAAAAGGAUUAAGCAGUUUUCAGCAGAGUGUGGCAAUGGACAGGAUCCAGCGUAUUGUAGGUGUUUUGCAGAAGCCACAGAUGGGGGAACGUUACCUAGGAACCUUGCUACAGGUAGAAGGGAUGUUAAAGACUUGGUUUCCACAAAUAGCUGCCCAGAAGUCAUCAUUGGGUGGUGGCAAGCAUCAGCUGACCAAGCAUUUUCCAAGCCACCACAGUGAUUCAGCUGCUUCCUCUCCUGCAUCUCCUAUGGAAAAGAUGGACCAGACACAGCUAGGACGUCUAGCUUUAAAACCAAAGCAGCCUUGGCACUUCACACAAUGGCCAGCUAUGAACCUCACCUGGAUCCACACCACUCCAAUUUGCAACCCCCCUCUCAGCUCCCCAGGUACUAUCUCCUUU